UACGUAGGGGGCAAGCGUUGUCCGGAUUCAUUGGGCGUAAAGAGCGUGUAGGCGGCCAGGUAGGUCGGUUGUGAAAACUGGAGGCUCAACCUUCAGAGGUCGACCGAAACCAUCUGGCUAGAGUCCGGGAGAGGAGAGUGGAAUUCCCAGUGUAGUGGUGAAAUACGUAGAGAUUGGGAAGAACACCAGUGGCGAAGGCGGCUAUCUGGACGGUUUCUGACGCUAAGACGCGAAAGCGUGGGGAGCAAACAGG
Molecule: ribosomal RNA, 253 nt
Filed under: uncultured bacterium
Lineage: Bacteria
Description: partial 16S ribosomal RNA
Rfam family: Bacterial small subunit ribosomal RNA
Source: RNAcentral